AGAGUUGAUCCUGGCUCAGGAUGAACGCUGGCGGCGUGCUUAACACAUGCAAGUCGAACGAUUAAACCGGCCCUCGGGCGGACAUAGAGUGGCGAACGGGUGAGUAACACGUGACCAACCUGCCCCGCACUCCGGGAUAACCUGCGGAAACGCAGGCUAAUACCGGAUACUCCGCGCAGGCCGCAUGGCCCGCGCGGGAAAGCCCUUACGGUGCGGGAUGGGGUCGCGGCCCAUUAGGUAGACGCGGGGUGACGGCCCACCCGUGCCCGCGAUGGGUAGCCGAGCUGAGAGGCUGACCGGCCACAUUGGGACUGAGAUACGGCCCAGACUCCUACGGGAGGCAGCAGUGGGGAAUUUUGCGCAAUGGGGGGCCAACCCUGACGCAGCAACGCCGCGUGCGGGAAGAAGGCCUUCGGGUUGUAAACCGCUUUCAGCGGGGACGAUAAUGACGGUACCCGCAGAAGAAGCUCCGGCUAACUACGUGCCAGCCGCGGC
This 495-nucleotide ribosomal RNA is filed under the name uncultured bacterium. RNAcentral's name for it is "bacterial SSU rRNA". It matches the Rfam family "Bacterial small subunit ribosomal RNA", at positions 8 to 518 of the family's 1533-position model. The record is from RNAcentral.